Molecule: small nuclear RNA, 107 nt
Organism: Mastomys coucha (southern multimammate mouse)
Lineage: Eukaryota; Metazoa; Chordata; Mammalia; Rodentia; Muridae
Source: RefSeq, a predicted model, not a curated record
AUGCUCGCUUUGGCAGCACAUAUACUAAAAUUUGGAACAAAUAGAGAAAAUUAACAUGGCCCUCCUGCAAGGAUGACACGCAAAUUUGUGAAGUCUUCCAUAUUCCU